UACGAAGGGGGCGAGCGUUGUUCGGAAUUACUGGGCGUAAAGGGCGCGCAGGCGGCCUUAGAAGUCAGAUGUGAAAGCCCCGGGCUCAACCUGGGAAUGGCAUUUGAUACUCUGAGGCUGGAGUACGGGAGAGGAGAGCGGAAUUCCCAGUGUAGAGGUGAAAUUCGUAGAUAUUGGGAAGAACACCGGUGGCGAAGGCGGCUCUCUGGACCGUAACUGACGCUGAGGCGCGAAAGCGUGGGGAGCAAACAGG
This 253-nucleotide ribosomal RNA is filed under the name uncultured bacterium. RNAcentral's name for it is "partial 16S ribosomal RNA". It matches the Rfam family "Bacterial small subunit ribosomal RNA", at positions 524 to 776 of the family's 1533-position model. The record is from RNAcentral.